GUAACCGGCCGGCGGUAGGUUCACCAGUGGACCGGCGCACGCUUGCCAUAACUCCGGAUUUAUGAUCUUCUUCUCCAAUCCACCUGCAAUUUCACCAUCUGUCAGUCGCUCAUUCACGGUAUGUCAGGGCUAAAGAUGUGAUGGAAUUUGAAGAGAGAUUGAAGAUACUGUAGGGAGUGAAUUUUAUGAUAGUUCGAUUGAAAUUAAGCUUGAGAUGGAAUUCACGAAACAAUUCCAAAUGAAUUUCUGAGAGUUCGAUAGAAAUGAAGUUCUUCAAGCUAUUGAAUUCACAGAAAUUCUUUAAGCUAUUAAGAAAAUUCCUAAUCUCUCUAGUUUAACGGAUUGUAGAGAAAUUGAUUCACGAGAACUCGAUUAAAUGAAGGUAAGCUCGAGAUCGAAUUUGCAGGAGUAAGUUCUUGAAUGUUCUAGGAAAAACUUCCUAAUCGCUCCAAUUUGAAUUGAAGCUCGUGAUGAAAAUUUGAGAAAUUCUCGAAUAGUUGGGGGGCUGUUCCCAAUCUCUCUGAGCUCGAUGAGAUUAAGCUCGAGAUGAAACCGAGGAAGAACAUUAGGAUAUACGAAUCUCACUGUUCUGUGAUUUUCAUCUCUUAGAGAAAGAGAUAGAUAAAGAAAAAAGAGAAAAGCGUACCUUCGUUAGAAUUAGGCGCGGCGGCGGCACCGGCGGCACCGUUCGCCGGCGUCUUCAUUACUUGAACUUCCACAGGUGAUUGAAAUAGAUAUUAAAACCAAACGAAAACUAGAAACACUAACUGAAAUCUCACUGGCUCAUCUUCUCCGGCGAAAAGGAAAUUUCCCAGUAACUAAAACAGAUCGUAUAGCCAAAAGUUCUGGAAAAAGUCAGCUUUAGCAAUCACUCUGCCACUUCCUAGAUCACCUCCAAAAAGAAGGAAAGUCCUUCAAAUUUUCCCGGAAAAGUAAAAAGAUAAAAACAACGAAGGAAAUGAACAAGGUCAACAACAACUAUGGAACUCCGGCGAAGGAUUCCGGCAAAGUGACCGGAAAAGCAAAUCGGAAAACUAAAAAGAAUCCCCCCAAAAAAGAAAAAACAAAAAAAACAAAAACAAAAA
Long non-coding RNA from Cucumis sativus (cucumber), 1085 nucleotides. RefSeq lists it as uncharacterized. NCBI's taxonomy places the organism in Eukaryota, Viridiplantae, Streptophyta, Magnoliopsida, Cucurbitales, Cucurbitaceae. The transcript has 2 exons. The record is from RefSeq and is a predicted model, not a curated record.